RNAcentral lists this transfer RNA (65 nucleotides) under Macaca fascicularis (crab-eating macaque). Its description in RNAcentral is "tRNA-Lys". The record is from RNAcentral. Lineage: Eukaryota; Metazoa; Chordata; Mammalia; Primates; Cercopithecidae.
CACUGUAUAGCUACUCUAGCAUUAACCUUUUAAGUUAAAGACNGGGGAUACACCCCCUGCAGUGA